Molecule: long non-coding RNA, 1802 nt
Organism: Manis javanica (Malayan pangolin)
Lineage: Eukaryota; Metazoa; Chordata; Mammalia; Pholidota; Manidae
Source: RefSeq, a predicted model, not a curated record
AGCAGUCUGUCAUGGACAUCCUACUUGCUACCUAGGUUUUGCUUAUUCUGUGCAUGCCUCAUCUGUCUGUGCUGGGUGCCUCUGGGUGGUGGUUCAGGCCUGAGUCCUGCUCUUCAUCACCUGGCAGGGCUCAGAAGGUGGGAUCCAAAUCUACCAAUUUCAUAAAAUUCUGGAACCCAACCAGGUGGCCUCAGGGACUGUGUGGCCUUGGUGUCCAGUGGUUCUGGGUCAGGGGCUCUGGACCCACCUGUACUCCUGGGCUUCAGUGCCUCACCUAUGAACUGGGGCUGAUGAGGAUAGUGGUGGUUGCCCUUGUGUGUCUUUAGUGCGGUAGUUUGGGAGAGCUCAGAAAUGAGUACUAACACCCAGCCUGAAGAGAGAGCCCAGGCUGAAGCAAGUCGUUCUGGGGAGGGAGGACUGGACAGGGUAAGCUACCAGUCUGCCAAUGAAUCUUAAGAAUGGGACUUCCUCCUGUGCAAAGCCCAGUACCAGGGGUUAAAAGAAAGAGGGCAGCUAUCUCCUGCCGACCCACAGCCAGGACACCAGAAGCCAGAAACCGGGACAAUCGAACUGGAGUCCCCCGGAGCCCUCACCACCGGCGGGCUGAACCUGCACCGCCACUCAGGGAUCAGCGCGGGCAUGGCCGCCGGCCGAGGGCAAUGAGAAACCGAGGAGAGUCGCUUCACGCAGAGUUCCAAUUUUUUCCUGCAUUUCGCUGAGUGGCAGCGGCGCGCGCCUCUCCACGAGCCCAGGAGCUCCGGGCCGGGUUUCCCCGGCACGCUCGGCUGCAGCCCAGGCGCGGGUUUGAAAUUUCUUGCAGACGCCGCCACUCACGCCCGGCGAGCGCCAGUCGGAGCCGCCGCCCCGGGCCAGAGGGUCCCCGCUGCGCGAAGCACGAAAGCCUGCAGUGCCCGGGGUGGGGACGCAGCCGGCCCGGCAGGCUCUCCCCGACGCCGGGCAGGGCUUCCUCCCCACCCCCUCUCCACUGCCCGGCCGCCUCGCUCCCCGGAGCCCCGAUCACUGCCCGCUCCGGCCAGGCCGCCGCAGACCCACCUGGCCGCCCCGGGGACGCCGCGCUCGUGCCCGCGCCGUGUCCUGAGCGCCGCCAGGGUCCCGGGCUGGGAAUCCACGCGGCAGCGCUGCUCAGGGGAGCCUGCCGCAGCCGGCGGGAGGUUGUCAUUGAUUCGUGCUGGGCGAGUUAAGCCAUUCCAGGAGUGGUUUUGGGAGAGCACUCCCACCCCUCCCUGCAACCAGAAGUAUUUGGCAGGCAGCCCCUUUCGUCCACCUGUACUGUUAAGCGCGGAGCAACGACCAAUUUCAGCAAUUGCGCUUUAUACCUCACCUUAAAACAAGCAAAUAAAGUACUUUCGUAAAGGUAAAAGCAGAAAUGAAAGCAAGGCUGGUGGUGGAGAAUUCUCCCCGCUUUGCUCCUGGUCUCGGGUUAUUUAUUUAUUUUCUCUAAUAGUUCCCAAAAUGCCUUACCACUUAUCUCAAAUCAGGGGCGCUUUUCAUUAUUAUUGUUUUAUUCAAUUCUGCAUGUCUUUUAUUUUUAGAGGCAAUUUUAUUUCCAUUUGCCUGCAACCUGAGCCCAAUAAAAUCGCUAGAAUUACAUGUUUGCUCCUUAAAGGGUCGUGAGUGUAACUUAAUCAAAUGGAACAUUGCAAGCGUUCAAGUGGCAAAUAAAAAAGAGGAAAGUGCAGGAGGGAAGCCCAGAACUUUGGCUCCCUCCACCGGGUGGCCCAGCUGGGCUUUACCGCGGUGGAGUCCUGAGGCCUGGGGUGGGGGCACCCACUGCCACUCAG